Molecule: non-coding RNA, 2116 nt
Organism: Anas platyrhynchos (mallard)
Lineage: Eukaryota; Metazoa; Chordata; Aves; Anseriformes; Anatidae
Source: RefSeq, a predicted model, not a curated record
CCUUUUUUUUUUUUUUUUUUUUUAGUGCUUCUUUGUAGCAUUUGAAGCAUUAUUUUUGUAAUGCUUCUCUACAGAAGUCUGAAUGAUUUGUAGGGAGCUAUAAUACCUUUUAUUAGGCUGGCUGACCAGGGGAGGGAGAGGAGACGUGAACAAUCCUUGUAGAGGUCCCAAGAGCUGCAGUGGGAGGCACUUCCCAGUCUCUGCUCAAGAUGGAGGAAUGAAAAUCAGUUCUCUUAAGAGUUGAAUUCAGUGUUUUCUCAAACAUGUUUAGCUUUUUGCUCCGAUUGCUAUGGCGCUGUCCGUUUCGAAGAGCUCCUGAGCAAGCCGGCUCCUCUCUUCGCUGCUCUCCUCUGCCGUGUGUGCCCCAACGAGAGGGACUGGGACAUCUGCACGGCCAGUUGCUCCGCUUGGCUGAGGUGUGAGCGGUGGCCAGCACACCUUGCCCCUGGAAAUGAUGUCAGCUGCGUGCGUUUUACAUUUUGAUAAGCAGAAUCGGGAUGAGGGUGAAAGAAAGAAAUACUGAAGAAAUACACUAGUGUGUUUUGAAAUAUGUUGACCACCUGUAAUAUUGUCUUUCUCUUAUCACAGAAACCAGCCUGCACACUACAGUUGUACAGCUGCGUGGUUAGCUAGAAUAUCCCGGGAUUUAUGGAAACUAGUUCAAUUGUUCCCUCCCUUCACUUCUGGCUGCCGAUGGGUGAAGUUUACUGCUGGCAGUUAACAUUGCUUGCAUGCCAUUUGUCUGAUACCAAUGGCAAAGUUUAGACUUCAGGUGAUGCAGCUGCUUUCACACUUCUGCUCCCUUCCAGGUGUUGGUCAGUCUUUCACUACUUCCGUAUGAUUUUUUUUUUUUAUUUGUAUUUGGUACUCGUAAAGGCCACAACCCCAAUUUGAGGAUUUAUCUGCAGUACUUGUCCCCCAGAGAGUUUGCUGUUGCAUGGACAGGUGAGCAGUGAAUAGGGCAGGGAUGAAAUUCCUUUAGUUUUACAGGUGGGGGUCUGAGGCAUAGGGAAAGUAACUCUUCAACAAGCUGGCCAAGAAUACUGGGGCCAGCCUUUUAGAAAUAGGGCAGUGAGGAAGAGUUGCAGCUGAAUGUGAUCAAUAGUGUAAUCAUCUAGCUUCUUUCUGCAGUGGUGAAGCGCAGUGUUUCAAACUUUCAGAUGCUGUCACUUCCAUCUGACUGCCUUGUGACCACCCUGUAUUGAUGUACAGCUGUGCUAACUUGUAGUUGUCUGGACACCCAUGUGUUACCUAUGAUUUUUUGUUCUGCUAUCAUGGAAAUGGAUCUCAGAGUUUAAAUUGGAUUAACUAUCAGUUCUUGGAUUUGAAUGUUUUUGUGUUUACUGUUGACAGUGCCAGUAACUGUUAUUCUGAAACACUGUGACUCAGUGGAGUCAGUGCUUCGUUCUGAAAUCUUUAACUGAAAUGUUUCAUUACAAUUUCCAAAGCUUACCUGCAAUGUUUUGUUUCUGAACAGCACAGCUAUUACAUGCCACUUCAUGUGGUGUGUUACUCUGUAGGAGUGUGAGUUGGGAGACAACCAUCCUUGUUCUUCAUGUAUGAUCGGGCCCUAGACCAGACUGUGUCUCCCAUGGGGCACCACAGAUCAGCGGGUGCGUGGUUGGGGUGCAGGACCAGAGCCUGGAUUUGCCAGCCUCUCUUGAAUUACAGCUGUGAGACUGAUUGGAGAAAUGCAUCUCAAUGUAUGGACAAUGCCUGAGCAAAGUAUUUUACACUUUCCAAGUAUCACCUUACCUUAUUUUAACAUUUUUACAGCAACUACAUUUUUCAUUGGAAAAUGUUCCUAGUACUUCUGCAUAGUCCCUACAGAGCUAUGAGAGCUUGCCCCUGUUAUAGAAGUAGAUAUCCUUCCCAUUUUGAAAGGAGAAUAUAAAAUGUCAUAAUUGAAAUCCUGGUAUUGAUGUACUAAGUACAAAAAUGUCUUAGGUCAAUAAGUGUGGAUUCAGAACUGUAACACUCUCAAACUGUUUCUUGUUGUGCACAGAAAGGACUCAAAAUGACAUUUUUAUCAGUCAGUGAAAGCUUAGUUUAAUUGGCUGCAGUCAAGAUUCUGUAUUGUUCUGCGUAAUCUGAAUUAAACAUUGGUUUGACUGCA